This is a non-coding RNA of Podarcis lilfordi (Lilford's wall lizard), 116 nucleotides long. NCBI's taxonomy places the organism in Eukaryota, Metazoa, Chordata, Lepidosauria, Squamata, Lacertidae. The record is from the annotation of a GenBank genome assembly.
AGCUAAGUUUGUUAUUGGUAUGAGCUUUUGUGUGCAUGCACACUUCUUCAGAUACACUUCUUUGUAUCUGAAGAAGUGUGCAUGCACACGAAAGCUAGGCAGAGAGAUAACAACUG